RNAcentral lists this unclassified non-coding RNA (20 nucleotides) under Mus musculus (house mouse). Its description in RNAcentral is "oocyte_clustered_small_RNA2050". Lineage: Eukaryota; Metazoa; Chordata; Mammalia; Rodentia; Muridae. The record is from RNAcentral.
UUUUGGGUGUCCUUGGUGAA